Boleophthalmus pectinirostris (great blue-spotted mudskipper) is the source of this 69-nucleotide small nucleolar RNA. RefSeq annotates it as small nucleolar RNA U54. The record is from RefSeq and is a predicted model, not a curated record. NCBI's taxonomy places the organism in Eukaryota, Metazoa, Chordata, Actinopteri, Gobiiformes, Gobiidae. The transcript has a single exon.
UGAGCUAUGAGGAUAAAAUAUUUAUACAGAAUUAUUGUGUUGACUUGUAUACGCUAUUCUGAGCCACCA